Non-coding RNA from Salvelinus sp. IW2-2015, 865 nucleotides. NCBI's taxonomy places the organism in Eukaryota, Metazoa, Chordata, Actinopteri, Salmoniformes, Salmonidae. The record is from RefSeq and is a predicted model, not a curated record.
UAYCUCUGGUUUUUCAGUGAGGACCURGACAAGGAUGAGAAGACUCCAGUAGACACGAAGGACCUGGUGCCUGCCCCCAAUAUUGACCACUUGCUCUCCAACAUCGGCAGGACCGCUCUGCURGGGGAGRCGUCAGGUGAGGGCCCGCCCACCACUGCCCAAAUGCAUCCAAUCACAACCUGCACUGAGCUACUGACAGCCUGUGCAGACCAAUCACGGUUCAUACUGUGGCCGAACUGGCCAAUCAGUGACUGUCAAUAAUCAUUGACAGCCACACAGUUGAACCAAUCCCAUACAAUCAGGAAAGAGGCAUGACAUACAUUUGAAAYGAUUUGCCCUUGCCGAGUUUCUCUCUUUCCUGAUUUGAUCACUAGACUGUGCUUCUUUCCUCUCACCUGGUUUUCUUUUCUUCUUUAUUACUCAUCUUUCACUUUCUCUUCUACAUCGCUGCAUCCCUCUCUUAGCUGAGCCGGUGGAGCAGCCACUGCGACUCAACCAACAGUGACUCAGCUAAAUCUAAGGGGUCGUGGGGGUCAAAGCGAGACCUCACUGCCAAGGACUUUCUGACCCUGUCCAUCAUGUCCGCCGUCACCGGACGCAAGCGCAGGAAUCGCCACAAUGGCCGCCUCGUGGGCAGCAGCACAGACGACGACUCGGAGCACGAGCCAAUCAAAGUCAGCCACCUGGGGGCGGAGGAGGGAGAAGAGGCGGGGCUGGUGGUGGCAGGAACAGACACUGCCCCACGAGCAGAGGGAGAGGAGGAGGAAGAUGAGGAGGAGGAAGAAGAAGAGUCUGUAGUAGAGAGAGUGAGAGAGAAGGUAGAGGAGGUGAUAGUUCCCAGCAUGCCAUGCGGUAGUGAGAAAGA